CAUGCGACGCCGACCGUACAGCGUUCUCUCUUCUUCCCAUCGAUUGUAACUGUCACAGUAAAGGCUUCGUGAUCAAUCAUCUCUGUCCUCAAGAGUCACGAAUCUAGAUCUAUAAAUAAGGAUCUUCGAUUCUGUGAAAUAUAUUCAGACUUUUGGCGUACUCAUAUCUUCUCUCGCCGACUUCAAAUCGAUGUUUUUCUAACAUCGUCAAAGUCCAGAUGCUAAGAAUCCGGGAAGCACAUAAGAAGAAGUGUCAAUGUAAUUUGUCAGUGGGUUUGACGGGUUACAGCACUGAGAGCCUGAAGAUUUAGACGGUAAAUUCAAACGAUGCAGAUGGAGUGACUGAGAUGAAAUUAGAAUCGCUGAAGCCUGAGGGAUAACUUUUCCUUGGUGAUACAGAGGAAUAAGGGUAUCAUGCGAAAGGACCAUCAAAAGUUCUCAAGAAAGUUAAGGAAAAGGUAAAAGAAGAUGAAGAAUGUUCUUACUAAACAUCGACAUGGUCGUGAGCAUGAUCGUAGAGAACAACACAUCCCCGACGAUCACGAUCUUGACGAGGAAGAUGCUGAACAUGAUGAAAAGCUCAUCACAUUCAGGAGAUAGUUCCUCCAGGCACAAAGGCUUUUCCUGCCGUGGCUACUUCCCCCACUAAAGUCUCUGAGCCAAUCAAAGCAGGGAAACCAGUACGAGGCCCCAAUACCUCUCACGGACACGAAGCUCUGCCUCAUCAUGCAAGACCCUUAGGUGUGUCGGAAAAAUAAGAAAAAGAAGUGUUCCUAAAAUGACGACGUAUAACAUGCCCGUGUCUUCGCUCACUCUGACAGAAGAUGCCACUAGAACGUUUGUUCUUGGUGAAUAACUUAGACUAUGAACAAUUUAGAGUCAACAUCGAGAGAUACAGAGGAUUGUAGGAAGGGACGGCUGCUCAGGUCUUGGUGGGAUGUCGAAUUAUCAGUCCAACGUCAUGUUUGCCACCGGAAAAACUGGUGGAGAAGUUGGAAGAGCACAGCUCUUGCGCGGAGGAAAGGAAAAUGUGAUGAUAUUCAACUAAGCUCCUGGAAGAGAUAGGGAUAUAGUACAAGAAGAAUGAAGCGAGUGCUUUUUUUACCUGAGUGGCUUUUGUUUUCAAGAUAAAAAGUAUUUUAUCCAUCUGAUUUUUUUUUAGUUUUUGAAACGUAGGCGCCGUCAUUAUUGGUGGAAAGUGAAAGACCGCAAACAAUGCAAACGACUUCUAAUGGCAACCGUUCGGAUUGGAAAGUGUGUUUCACCGUCAAAUAAACACCAGUUAUUGACUUGCAUAGAGCUUGAGGCUGAGAUGAAAAGGUCAAAGCUUGAAUUCAGGCAAACCAUGGACAUGUAUGUUUAGCUUCCAAAGAAGCAUUAAGAGGUGGAAAUAUAGGUGUGAAGGAGAGGUAGUUGGUGAUGACUAAGCUCAUCUUACUUCAUCUAAUACUUUUAAGUUGAAGUAGUUGUCGAAUUUAAAUAUAUGUGUGAAGGAAAAUAGUUGAUGAUGACUAAAGUCAGGCAAACCAUGGACAUGUAUGGCCUAGCUUCCUAGACACGUUUUCUAGGAUUAAGUAUAAUGUUGUUACAGUUGUUUAUCGAGUGAGCAAACCAAA
This is a long non-coding RNA of Raphanus sativus (radish), 1616 nucleotides long. RefSeq lists it as uncharacterized. Lineage: Eukaryota; Viridiplantae; Streptophyta; Magnoliopsida; Brassicales; Brassicaceae. The transcript is spliced from 5 exons. The record is from RefSeq and is a predicted model, not a curated record.